RNAcentral lists this ribosomal RNA (253 nucleotides) under uncultured bacterium. RNAcentral's name for it is "partial 16S ribosomal RNA". It matches the Rfam family "Bacterial small subunit ribosomal RNA", at positions 524 to 776 of the family's 1533-position model. The record is from RNAcentral.
UACGUAGGGUGCGAGCGUUAAUCGGAAUUACUGGGCGUAAAGCGUGCGCAGGCGGUUCGUUAUGUCUGUGGUGAAAGCCCCGGGCUCAACCUGGGAAUGGCCAUGGAAACUGGCGGGCUGGAGUGUGGCAGAGGGGGGUGGAACUCCUGGUGUAGCAGUGAAAUGCGUAGAGAUCAGGAAGAACACCGAUGGCGAAGGCAGCCCCCUGGGCCAACACUGACGCUCAGGCACGAAAGCGUGGGGAGCAAACAGG